UUAUCGGAGAGUUUGAUCCUGGCUCAGGACGAACGCUGGCGGCGUGCCUAAUACAUGCAAGUCGAGCGAACAGAUGGGAGCUUGCUCCCUGAUGUUAGCGGCGGACGGGUGAGUAACACGUGGGUAACCUGCCUGUAAG
RNAcentral lists this ribosomal RNA (139 nucleotides) under Bacillus spizizenii. RNAcentral describes it as "partial 16S ribosomal RNA". It matches the Rfam family "Bacterial small subunit ribosomal RNA", at positions 1 to 136 of the family's 1533-position model. The record is from RNAcentral. Lineage: Bacteria; Bacillati; Bacillota; Bacilli; Caryophanales; Bacillaceae.